This is a long non-coding RNA of Osmerus eperlanus (European smelt), 2192 nucleotides long. RefSeq lists it as uncharacterized. The record is from RefSeq and is a predicted model, not a curated record. The transcript is spliced from 3 exons. Lineage: Eukaryota; Metazoa; Chordata; Actinopteri; Osmeriformes; Osmeridae.
GAGAGACAGGACGAAAAGAGAAAAGAGGCCAGAUCAGACUCAGAUAGUCAGGCAGAGCAGGCAGAAACCGUAAACCCCUCAUCCCUACAGCCUUUCAGACAGGAACUUCAAACCUAGAUAUGCGAGGAUCAAGCAUAAAGCCCAUCUCCUCUCAGCUGAGCUCUGCACGUCUGAAGACCUCUGCUAUGUCUGCUCACUUAAUGAGUGUAUCCUAGAUUAUGAUUAAUUUAUGAUCCUGUCAAGUUGAGUCAAAGGAUCAUUGGACGACUCACUAUAUGGUAAUAAUGUGUUUGUUUGUUAACAAGUACAGAAUUCCAGUAGAUGUCCAUCUUUAACCAGCAGUUAUUUGUUUCUUGCAGUCAUGUCAUUGCUCACACUAUCCUGAAUGCAGAGCCACCUAGGUCACAAUUCUGAGGAAAUGAUAAAACAUCCAAAUGCAAAUAUGAAAACAUAGAUAGUAAAGGUAAGAAAAACACAAUAUCCAAAUGGAUGAAAGACAACACUCAACAACAACAAAUAGUUUAUCACAUGAAAAUAUAAUGAUAAGAAUAUAAUAAUGUACUUUCUAGGGGUUAACACCGUCUGCCUUUUCCCUAAUGAUGUUUCUCCCUGGCUUUACUCCCACUGUGGCAAUCUAAUUAAAGCUUCCUAGCCAAACAAACCAGCCCGAGUUGUUCUGGUUCCUGGUAGGAUGGGGGUUGCCAGAGGGCCCAGGGGCCCAGGGUGUGUGUGUCCUGGCCGGAUGCUUCAGUCUUACCCAGGCUGGAGCGUGUACUGGAGCGCUCGAUGAUAGUGUGCUUGCUGGGGUUGUUGAGGACUGAACGCUUGGCUAGGGAGAUGUCUGCUGUGACCCGUGUAAUGGAGAUCCUGCAAACAACCACCAACAUCCAAUCACUGUCGAUUUUCGGAUGACGUGUUAUUAAUGUCACGUGCUACGACACAAUUUUAUAGAUAUCGUAUCUGGCCCACAACUAACCUUCCCUCAAACUUGUGUUUAAGAAAAUCAAACAGAGCCUUCUGCAUCAUGUCCGUCACCUGGAGAUAUGAGAAAAUGAUAAGCACAAUAAGGCUACUGAAUCCAGCGAUAUUCAAAGGGGAAAUGAACAAGACAGUGGGUGGAGAUGAUCCUACCUCAUAGCCCUUGAGUGAAGGCCCCACGAGAAUGAUGGGUCUCAUGGAUGGAACCACAUCAUAGGGGGGGACGUGCUCCAUCUGAACCAGGAAGAGAGCACAGAGUCUGGGAUCUGUAUUCCUGGAGCGCGCACUCCUCUGCAUGCAGCUCAGCUCUUCAGAACACUGAGAGGGUUGGAGAGCCACACUUCACUAAGGACCAGAACUGCUGACAGACAGUGAGAGGAGUGGAGCGAGAGCCACGGCCUCUCAAACAGGCCGCCGCAAAUGGAAACUAAAACACAUCAGGGUUAAUUAGCGUUAGCCACGAUUCUGUGUUUGUGCGACAGGGCAUCUGGCACACCUGCCUGGGUCACCCUGUCGGCACCAGAGAGCGGUGACACAGGCUUUAUCUAGAUGUUGGUGAGGGAUAUUAUUUAUUUGACAUUUCGUAAUUUCUCGGUUUGCAGUGUGCCAUCUGUUGACGCUGUCUAAGACUGUUUAACCUUUCGGAACUGAUUGCGAUACUUCACGAUGCAAAGAAAAGUGUUGUCAAGACAUUUUUCGUGCAUCCUUACGUUUGACUCUUAAGCAUGAGCUGAUAUGAGAAAUCCACGUCAGAACAAGUAAAAGGAGCAGGAUACAGGAUGAAAGGUUAAAAGUUAGUCUCGUUAGAGAAAAACAAACUCACCGACUUCUGUUUCUGUUUGGUUGGGCCACCUAAAGUAUCAUUCGGCAGACAAACCCAAACGAGAGAAAGAGCAGAACGGAAAGAAGAAGAGACAAAGGCACAAAACAUGGAGCACGUGUUGUUAUUGACAAGUUAGGAUUAGAGGGGGACAUCGGGAGAGGAGCUGUUCAAUGAUCAAGGAGAGACCGAUAGAGACCAGCUCUAUCUGCACUGCACGUUGUCAUGAAAUCUGGGAAAACAUAUUCUGAAAUAUGACUGCAGUGCUCUACUGCAGUUUUUGAGAAUAGAACUCAGCCCCUCUCCCAGAUGCCAAGCACAAAAAACACACACGCAAACAUUUCCCAGCGUUACCGUAGCAACCGGAGACGGAGGGGACCAAUCAGGAUUAGAG